UCUAUCACAAAACUGGACAUUAUUUUCUGGUUCCCGCCUAAUGUCUGUUUGAUCCAAACAGCUGUACCAGUCGAUGUGACAUGUCACCACGUAGCCUAAAGUUAAAGUUGAGUUAAUAUACGUAAGGUCUGAAUUGAACAAAUCCAAUCAAUUGGUAAAUUAACAGUUUACUGACAACAGGCUAACAACCUUGCUCGGUUGAACUCUGCAGGGGAGGUGUCUGCACUUUUGCCUGGCUAGCAAUCCUAGAAAGCUACCCUAUAUUUGUUUAAAUAUAGAUUUUUUUGGAUGGGAAGACUGUUCAUAUUCACCUCCUCAAAUUAUACAAAGUAGGGAAGGGUCAGUAUAAAUGCAUCGUAAAUGUACACUGCUGCUACAGUAGCCAUUUCAGGAUUGUACACGUGCAAUUCAGUCCUCUACCAAGUGUCAAAUGAAAGGACCAAUUCGAAACAUUUCUUUAAAAAACUUUUUUUAAGCGAGUUCAGUAAAAAUCUCUUACGGAAGUAAUUUUUGGAUACAAGACAUUAUUUUUAUUUACAAUACAGUAAAUCAAAUCAUACAUCAUUUUAAGUAGUCGUCUGUCCUAAGCAGUCGUCUGUCCCUGAAAGAUCCGUAUGGUUUUGUGUGUCAAUUUUAGCGGAAUCUGUUUCCAAAUGACCAAAAAAACGUGAUAUCCCCAUCUGUAUAAAUGUAACCGUUUCUACAACAAACAACAUGCUUACAGAAUUCCAUCUAAAGAGAAAAGGAUAGGGUUGGUACCCAGGGAGGUCAUGGAGAGGACUGCAGUUUUGGAGAUUAGGGACACUAGAUGUUGAAAACCAUCUACAUGUAGAAUCCUUUCUGGGAGACCUUACGCAUUUUAAAUGGUGUUUAAUAUUUGUUAAAUAAAUUCAUUGUACUCAUCAGCGUGUUUGACAUUUUAAGUUAACGUAUGCAAUGUUAAGUGUUCAGCUAGUUUCCUUGCUGCAUUGACAUAACAUCAUCUUCUGGAUGCUCCAAGUGAUUAAUGGAAAAGAAACAGCCACCUGAUCGCAUGCAUGUGUACACUAUUAAGCAUAGGCCUACAUCAGAUUGGUCAGUUGUUUUGUCAAUGCUUACCGGGGUGUUAAGAAAAAACAAAAACAGCUUUCCUUGAGGAUUUGAACGUUACCACCACUCACUUCAUGGUAAAUUAUGAAGCUGAUUGUGCCUCAAUCGUUUUUCCCACAUGGAGUACCUGAUUGGACAAAGGAUUGGGACAGAACAGAGAUGAGGGUCCAUCGGCCAAUGACCGCGUACCUGUCCCUCAGCGAAGCGGAAUGCUGCACAAAUAUCUGUCCUCUCCAGGCAGAUGAGCUGGAGAGGAACGCCUGCUGUCCCAGUGCACUCCCCGUUGCUGUCAAAGUCACAGCUGUGCCACUUUUUAUUGAUAAGAUAUUUUAUUACACCCGCUAAAUUCAAUUGGAGGCAUAUCCCAACCUGCCAUAUAAUUUCAGCCGUACAUGCAGUUACCUCCAGCCUAGUCUGGCUUGCCAAUGAAUGCACUCAGUUCUCCGUAACACCUGCCAGCCAUGAAUGGGUUAUAUGCAGGAGUCUGUGGUGAACCUUGGAUUCCCUGGGGGUCUCGGUGACAUCAGCUGGUGACAUCGAUAGCAUGCAUGUGCAACUGCGCGCUCCAGCAGAGAACGCUCUUACAUAUGUUUCCUGUGAAGGAGCCCACUCCCUCAACAUCCAGGUGAUCUGCGAUGCUACGUGUAAGGUUACACAUGUACUCAUUUAAUAAAUUUGUUAAUGCAUACUAUUCUCAUCCUAAAAUAAUUGCAGCUGCCAUGUUUAUUUAUGCUUGCAGUCAAGAACAUUUGAGCAACAUUCCUGCAGGCUGCAAGCAAAUAAAAAAACUUGCUUCCCUGUCUUAAAUUGCCAAAUUUGUCUUUGGGAUAGCCUUGAUAUUUUGUUAUCUGUUGUAAGCAAUCUAGCCUUUGGGUAUGAUGCUAUGUGUGCACCUAUAAACCACACACAAAUUUGGCUAAAUGUCUUGCACAAUUGGGGAAAUUCAAGCUCUCCGGCAUCUCCGAUUUCUAAUGUUUUGAUGGCGUAAGAUUCUGCGGCAUGGUCUUUCUCUGUCUGUGGGCAUGAGCAUUAGUUGCUGCAGUAGUAUGUUCAGUAAAUAUGGUGCUUCAAGAAUGGGCACCUGUGUGUAAAAGGCCCUGUCACAGUCUUUGGUAGUGCCUGCGACCCUGCCUCAUUUCACACAGCUGCCGUUUGCAUAUGCAAAUUCGUGGGCUGCUUACAGGUGGUUCCCCCUCCCCCGCUUUCUCCUGACAGUUGAGCGCAAGUAGGAUAGAGCAGAAUUUUAACAAGCUGUUAAUUUUUCUUAAUUAGGUGCUUUUCAUG
Molecule: long non-coding RNA, 2373 nt
Organism: Anguilla rostrata (American eel)
Lineage: Eukaryota; Metazoa; Chordata; Actinopteri; Anguilliformes; Anguillidae
Exons: 2
Source: RefSeq, a predicted model, not a curated record